This 86-nucleotide transfer RNA is filed under the name Planctomycetota bacterium. RNAcentral describes it as "Planctomycetes bacterium (marine sediment metagenome) tRNA-Pro". It matches the Rfam family "tRNA". From Rfam's summary of the family: Transfer RNA (tRNA) molecules are approximately 80 nucleotides in length. Lineage: Bacteria; Pseudomonadati; Planctomycetota. The record is from RNAcentral. RNAcentral also lists the same sequence under 1 other name.
GGCCGCGUGACGAAAUUGGCAAACGUGCCAGUUUUGGAUACUGGCGGGCACGAUUGCCCUUCCGGGUUCGAAUCCCGGCGUGGCCA